RNAcentral lists this long non-coding RNA (1028 nucleotides) under Apteryx haastii (Great spotted kiwi). Its description in RNAcentral is "lncRNA (ENSAHAG00000001770.1)". The record is from RNAcentral. Lineage: Eukaryota; Metazoa; Chordata; Aves; Apterygiformes; Apterygidae.
AUGGCCGCCUCGGCCGAGUACGAGCUGGAGAAGAGGGUGGAGCGGCUCGACCUCUUCCCUGUGGAGCUGGAGAAAGGUGGGCCAGCCUGGGCUGGGGUCCCUGCGCCCUCCCGGCCCCCGGCUGCCAACCUCAUCCCCUGCACACCUUGCACACUCCUUGCCUUGCACAUCGGGCACAUGUGCACCUGGUUUGCACUUGGUGCCAUGGCAGCCGUGCACACGUGUUCACACGUGUCCCCCCUGCAGCCAGCUCCACCCCGGGGCUCCCCCAUGGCCGAGGCACCCAAGGGUGCCUGCGGGAGAUGGGAGAGGCAGCCAGCCCACUGCAGGCUCCCCAAGCAAAGGAGGUCCCCAGGCACCGGGGAAGGAGGGAGGCCAGCUGAGGCAUCGUGCAACCUCUGGGGAGAGAGAGGGGCCCCUUGUCCAGCCACUGUCCAUCCCUUCCCUCUCCGAGCACUCSUCGUCUCCCGUGGCCUUGCUCUCUGCCUGUGCCUGGGCGGACGUUCCUGGCGGAGGGGCUGCAUCAGCCCCGGGUGUCCCCCGCUCACCCGCCCCGCGAGGACACGGGCUCUCUGUCCCCACAGACUCCGAAGGGCUGGGGAUCAGCAUCAUCGGCAUGGGUGCAGGGGCCGACAUGGGCCUGGAGAAACUGGGCAUCUUCGUCAAGACGGUGACGGAGGGAGGGGCGGCCCACCGGGACGGCAGGAUCCAGGUGAACGACCUCAUCGUGGAGGUGGACGGCACCAGCCUGGUGGGGGUGACGCAGAGCUUCGCCGCCUCCGUGCUCAGGAACACCAAGGGCCGCGUCCGGUAGGGCCCGGGGGACCCCGGCGCGUCGCAGCCGUGCCCGUGGCCGACAAUAGCCCAUUGUCUCGGCUUCCUGCCGGCCUCAGCGCCCCGCCCCAGGCCGGGCCAUGGGGCACUGGCCUUGGCCGUCACACCAGGGACCCCCCCCCCCCCAUGGACCGACCCCGGACUGGGGGUGCUCGGGGGGUGGGGAGAGCCCCCAGCUGGUGCUGAGCCCCCUG